AUUCUCAUUCUCCUUUUCCCUCUCUCUCUCUCUCUUUCUCUUCCUACCAAUUAUAUUUCUUCUCACCAUCGUGUAACAACUUCACUCUCUUUCUUCUUUUGCUAAAUAUCUGGGACAAUGGUCGUAUGAAGAACAUGGAUGAACACUAUGAGUGCUCAUCCUUGAUUUUUCCAAAUUUCUCAAUUUAGCCCCAUUUCAUAAAAACCAAAGACAAACCCUAUCCUAAAUUUCAUACAAAUCAUGAAUCCACCAUCAAAAACACAAAACAUACAUCCUUGGGCUCAGGUAAUCUCCGGCGAGAACUCCGACGAGUCCAAUACCUCAGGAUAUGGAGAUGGAUGUAUGUUGUUGAUGUAGCAAGGUUGUGGAACUCGUGACAACAACAAAUUAAUUUCUUCUCCUCUUUUAAUUUUCCGUUUCGUUUAAUGUGUAUGUAUGAAUGAUGCAUGGUGCAAGGUUAUGCAAUGGUAUGAUGGAGAUGACAUGGUUGCAACAAUGGGGAACUCGUGACCUUCAAUUCCACUUGUUUUAUCUUUUUUUUAAUUCAUUUAUGUAUGCAUAUGGAUGGUGCAGGUGUGAUGAUUGCUAUGAACAAGGCAUGGUUUGAUGGUUUGAGAUGGUGAUGCCCUUGCAACAUAAAGCUUGUGCUUCCUUCAAGUCCAAGAUAUUUCCAUUCUUUUUCAUUUUUAUAUAUGUAUGUAAUGUAUGUGAAGGGAUGACUUAGGUACAACAUGAAAAAGUUUGUAAUUUUUUUCCCUUCUUUGUAUGUAUGUAUGCAUUGAUGGGAUGAAUAUGGUGUAAAGGUUAUAUUGAUGUUGUAAUAUAACUAUUUGAAUUUCAAAUGCAAAAAAAAAAUCAUUGUGUGUGUGUGGUA
Molecule: long non-coding RNA, 874 nt
Organism: Lathyrus oleraceus (garden pea)
Lineage: Eukaryota; Viridiplantae; Streptophyta; Magnoliopsida; Fabales; Fabaceae
Exons: 2
Source: RefSeq, a predicted model, not a curated record